AUUUUGCACAAUGGGGGAAACCCUGAUGCAGCGACGCCGCGUGAGCGAAGAAGGCCUUCGGGUCGUAAAGCUCUGUCCUAAGCGAAGAAAAAGACGGUACCAUAGGAGGAAGCCUCGGCUAACUACGUGCCAGCGGCCGCGGUAAUACGUAGGGGGCGAGCGUGAUCCGGAAUUAUUGGGCGUAAAGGGUGCGUAGGCGGCCAUUUAAGUCAGAUGUGAAAGACUACGGCUUAACCGUAGUUAGCAUUUGAAACUAGAAGGCUUGAGUGCAGUAGAGGAGAGUGGAAUUCCUAGUGUAGCGGUGAAAUGCGUAGAUAUUAGGAGGAACACCAGUGGCGAAGGCGACUCUCUGGACUGCAACUGACGCUGAGGCACGAAAGCGUGGGUAGCGAACAGG
This 397-nucleotide ribosomal RNA is filed under the name uncultured bacterium. Its description in RNAcentral is "partial 16S ribosomal RNA". It matches the Rfam family "Bacterial small subunit ribosomal RNA", at positions 361 to 776 of the family's 1533-position model. The record is from RNAcentral.